Pyrus x bretschneideri (Chinese white pear) is the source of this 975-nucleotide long non-coding RNA. RefSeq lists it as uncharacterized. The record is from RefSeq and is a predicted model, not a curated record. Lineage: Eukaryota; Viridiplantae; Streptophyta; Magnoliopsida; Rosales; Rosaceae. The transcript is spliced from 2 exons.
UGUAAGUAUAUGAAUAGGAUAUUCAUAUUUAUGAAUAUGUGGGCAAAAUGGGAAAAUGAAUCACUAAAUGGUUAAGAAUAUUUUAGUGGGGAAAUGUGAAAUCCCGUUUCUGAAUUUGAUUAUUAAAUUAAGUAUUUUGUAAUCAUAAUUUACGAUGGAUAUUUGUUCGAUAAGUAAAAAGACAAAAAUGCUCUUAGAGGGUAUGUGUCGACUUUCAUUAACUUACUGAUCAGAUCACGUGUGACAUAUUAAUUAGUAUAUCCUAAUAGCACUCGUUAUUAUGAACGAAACCCAUAUAAAUUAUUUUAUUUAAAGUAGUGGAAAAGAUAAUAGCACUAGAUAUAAAAUAUUAAUGAUAGAAUAAAGGAAAGAAAAAAAAUAAAAGAACAGAUGGGAGGUGGAGGAGGAUCGGGAAGAAACGGGAAAAGAAGGGGAAAAGGGGAGAAGGGGGGAAAAAGGAAUUCUUCUUCUUCUUCUUCUUCCUCCUUCCUCCUUCCUCCUUCGCUCACGGGAUCCCUUUCAAACUAUAUUCAUCAUAAUUUCCUCAUACGAUAAGGAAAUCACGUGAGGUCGGAAGCUAUAGUUUCGUAGCGAGGCCGUCUUCAAUCUUACGAUACCCACCCUUUGAAAACCAUUGUAUAAAGAAAACGAGGUCCAAACAUAUUGACGUGUUCCGGCGACUUUUCUCUGAUUUGGGGCAAUCCCGCUGGAAUCUGGCUGGACCCAAGCGAAAAUAAUGAUUCUCCCCACGUGGGCUCUCCUCUGGCGAGUUGAAUCGGAACCGGGUAGUCAUGAUCGGUUGCAUAUAUAGGGAAGAACAUUGAAAUCCUAACCUCAAUUCGGUUCUCUUUAGAAAUUGAAGGGUUGGGUUUGUGUUAUAAGCAUUCUAUAUUCUUCCCAUGGCAUUGCUAUUAUUAGAGUAUUAUAUGACUCUUGUUUUGGUUGUUGCAGAAGUUAAAUGCAACCAUAAAAUAG